GACGAACCGUGCGAACGUUGUUCGGAUUCACUGGGCUUAAAGGGCGCGUAGGCGGGCGGUCAAGUCGGGGGUGAAAUCUUUCAGCUUAACUGGAAAAGUGCCUCCGAUACUGAUCGCCUCGAGGGAGGUAGGGCUGUGGAACGUUCCGGUGGAGCUGGGUGAAAUGCGUAGAUAUCGGAAGGAACGCCGGUGGCGAAAGCGACGUGCUGGACCUCUUCUGACGGCUGAGGCGCGAAAGCUAGGGGAGCAAACGGG
This 255-nucleotide ribosomal RNA is filed under the name uncultured bacterium. RNAcentral's name for it is "partial 16S ribosomal RNA". It matches the Rfam family "Bacterial small subunit ribosomal RNA", at positions 524 to 776 of the family's 1533-position model. The record is from RNAcentral.